AGCACAGAGCAGUCCUAUAGCCCUGGCAAAAAGAAAGUAGAUAUAAUAAGUGGUAAUUGGAACACUGGUCACAACAUACAAUGAAAGGUAAUGGGUGAGGAAGAAGAGGAGAACACCUUGGAAGUGAGAGAGACUGCACAUACUCUGAAGGGAACAGUUUUGGACCAUCCCCAUGUAGAGGAUGAUACAGAUAACAAACUCUCUGGUGAUCUCCCUGAAGAGCCAAGACAAAGAAAGACAAAGACCUUUUUCAGUAAAAACACCAGUCAAAAUCUGAAACAGCAGACAAUGAUUGAUAAUCAG
This 303-nucleotide long non-coding RNA is filed under the name Anas platyrhynchos platyrhynchos (common mallard). Its description in RNAcentral is "lncRNA (ENSAPLG00000031081.1)". The record is from RNAcentral. Lineage: Eukaryota; Metazoa; Chordata; Aves; Anseriformes; Anatidae.